RNAcentral lists this ribosomal RNA (397 nucleotides) under uncultured bacterium. RNAcentral's name for it is "partial 16S ribosomal RNA". It matches the Rfam family "Bacterial small subunit ribosomal RNA", at positions 523 to 918 of the family's 1533-position model. The record is from RNAcentral.
AUACGUAGGGGGCGAGCGUUGUCCGGAAUGAUUGGGCGUAAAGGGCGCGUAGGCGGCCCGGUAAGUCUGGAGUGAAAGUCCUGUUUUUAAGAUGGGAAUUGCUUUGGAUACUGUCGGGCUUGAGUGCAGGAGAGGUAAGUGGAAUUCCCAGUGUAGCGGUGAAAUGCGUAGAGAUUGGGAGGAACACCAGUGGCGAAGGCGACUUACUGGACUGUAACUGACGCUGAGGCGCGAAAGUGUGGGUAGCAAACAGGAUUGGAUACCCUGGUAGUCCACACUGUAAACGAUGAAUGCUAGGUGUAGGGGGUAUCGACCCCUUCUGUGCCGCAGUCAACACAAUAAGCAUUCCGCCUGGGGAGUACGGCCGCAAGGUUGAAACUCAAAGGAAUUGACGGGG